Molecule: unclassified non-coding RNA, 344 nt
Filed under: soil metagenome
Description: partial contains 5.8S ribosomal RNA, internal transcribed spacer 2, and large subunit ribosomal RNA
Rfam family: 5.8S ribosomal RNA (bases 1-120)
Source: RNAcentral
GAUGAAGAACGCAGCGAAAUGCGAUACGUAAUGUGAAUUGCAGAAUUCAGUGAAUCAUCGAGUCUUUGAACGCACAUUGCGCCCACUGGUAUUCCGGUGGGCAUGCCUGUUCGAGCGUCAUUAUCCUCCCUCAAACCCCGGGUUUGGUGUUGGACCCAAGUUGUGUGAACAACUGGUCUCAAAGACAAUGACGGCGUCCGUGGGACCCUCGGUGCAACGAGCUUUUAGGAGCACGCAUCGAGUUGCAAGGACCUUCCGGGCCGGUCUCCUUUACCAUUUUACAAGGUUGACCUCGGAUCAGGUAGGAAUACCCGCUGAACUUAAGCAUAUCAAUAAGCGGAGGA